Long non-coding RNA from Asterias rubens (European starfish), 1164 nucleotides. RefSeq lists it as uncharacterized. The record is from RefSeq and is a predicted model, not a curated record. The transcript is spliced from 6 exons. Lineage: Eukaryota; Metazoa; Echinodermata; Asteroidea; Forcipulatida; Asteriidae.
AGCGAAAAACCAGAGUUGUGACGUCAAAUUUGUAUCGCAUUCGCAUUUGCAUUGGCAGGAAGUAUAAACCGGGCUUAACGAUUCUCUCAACAUGCUAACCUUGUUUUUGAUUGGUUUUUUUUCACAGUCUGUUACCUGUUAUUGCUAAAUUGAUGAAGUGGCAAGCAAUUGUGCACAGAUGGCAGCUCUGGGACACCGUAGAUGACAUUGGUUUUUAAAGUAUUGGUGUUGUGUCAGGUAAAGUAUGUGGUGAAUCCAACUUUUGUGACCAAAAUGCUAAAACAUCAAGUUAUUUUUCUUCCAAAAUGCAGAUCGUGUUUUCUUCUUGUGGCUGAAGUCUCAGAACUGAGCUGAGGUGAUGCCUAUACUAGCAGAGACUGUCAAGCAAUUUGUCAGCUGUGAAGUUGUGGCUACAACCAGACCUGUUUGCGGCAUUGCUGGAGGAUACCGGCUGUAUAGGAGUCAACAACAGACCUCUCGAUUUAGAUGAUGACCUUGAAGAUGACAUAUCCAACCUUGAGGCUUAAUCGGCGCUUUUUGGAUCGGGUGCCACCAGCUGAAGAAGAAUUCUCCGCUCCAAGUUCACACAACCUAGAGAGGUUGAGGCCAACCACUGCUUUUUUGGACAGAUUGUGAUCAAGACAUUGGAGAAGACAUACAUCCAAUCUUGAGGCUUUUUGGACUGUGUACCACCAACUGAAGAACUGUUUAGAUGAUUCUCCACUACAACUCCAACCAUUCCAGUGACAUCGUUAUUGAGGCCAACCAACGCCUGCAAAGAGCCAAGAACAAACUACUUGACUGAGAUGCUAAGAGACUGAGAAGGACUGUGUCAAUUCAGACUUGAUGACUCUCCACUGCAGGUUCAACUGUUCAUAUACCAGAGGGAUGUUGAGGCUAACCAUCGCUUUUGAGACGUUUGCAAAGAGUCAACAAAAGAGCGCUUGUUUGAGAUGUAGAGACGACAUAUCCAAUCUUGAGCCCCAACCAACACUUUUUGGACUGUGUACCACCAGCUGAAGAAGGACUGUGUCAAUUCAAGACAGACAUGACUCCCCACUACAAGUUCUAGAGACACUAGAGGGAUCUUGAGGAUAACCAACGCUUUUUGGGCCAUAUGAAUCAAUCGGAAGAAGAACUGUGUAAAGUUUAGCCAGAUGACUC